This 397-nucleotide ribosomal RNA is filed under the name uncultured bacterium. RNAcentral's name for it is "partial 16S ribosomal RNA". It matches the Rfam family "Bacterial small subunit ribosomal RNA", at positions 523 to 918 of the family's 1533-position model. The record is from RNAcentral.
AUACGUAGGGGGCGAGCGUUGUCCGGAAUGAUUGGGCGUAAAGGGCGCGUAGGCGGCCCGGUAAGUCUGGAGUGAAAGUCCUGUUUUUAAGAUGGGAAUUGCUUUGGAUACUGUCGGGCUUGAGUGCAGGAGAGGUAAGUGGAAUUCCCAGUGUAGCGGUGAAAUGCGUAGAGAUUGGGAGGAACACCAGUGGCGAAGGCGACUUACUGGACUGUAACUGACGCUGAGGCGCGAAAGUGUGGGGAGCAAACAGGAUUAGAUACCCUGGUAGUCCACACUGUAAACGAUGAAUGCUAGGUGUAGGGGGUAUCGACCCCUUUUGUGCCGGAGUCAACACAAUAAGCAUUCCGCCUGGGGAGUACGGCCGCAAGGUUGAAACUUAAAGGAAUUGGCGGGG